GACGAACGCUGGCGGCGUGCUUAACACAUGCAAGUCGAACGGAAAGGCCCUGCUUUUGUGGGGUGCUCGAGUGGCGAACGGGUGAGUAACACGUGAGUAACCUGCCCUUGACUUUGGGAUAACUUCAGGAAACUGGGGCUAAUACCGGAUAGGAGCUCCUGCUGCAUGGUGGGGGUUGGAAAGUUUCGGCGGUUGGGGAUGGACUCGGGGCUUAUCAGCUUGUUGGUGGGGUAGUGGCUUACCAAGGCUUUGACGGGUAGCCGGCCUGAGAGGGUGACCGGCCACAUUGGGACUGAGAUACGGCCCAGAGUCCUACGGGAGGCAGCAGGGGGGAAUAUUGCACAAUGGGCGGAAGCCUGAUGCAGCAACGCCGCGUGCGGGAUGACGGCUUUCGGGUUGUAAACCGCUUUCGCCUGUGACGAAGCGUGAGUGACGGUAAUGGGUAAAGAAGCACCGGCUAACUACGUG
Molecule: ribosomal RNA, 468 nt
Filed under: uncultured bacterium
Lineage: Bacteria
Description: partial 16S ribosomal RNA
Rfam family: Bacterial small subunit ribosomal RNA
Source: RNAcentral